RNAcentral lists this ribosomal RNA (434 nucleotides) under uncultured Lachnospiraceae bacterium. RNAcentral's name for it is "partial 16S ribosomal RNA". It matches the Rfam family "Bacterial small subunit ribosomal RNA", at positions 341 to 792 of the family's 1533-position model. Lineage: Bacteria; Bacillati; Bacillota; Clostridia; Lachnospirales; Lachnospiraceae. The record is from RNAcentral.
ACGGAAGGCAGCAGUGGGGAAUAUUGGACAAUGGGGGAAACCCUGAUCCAGCGACGCCGCGUGAGUGAAGAAGUAUUUCGGUAUGUAAAGCUCUAUCAGCAAGGAAGAAAAUGACGGUACUUGACUAAGAAGCUCCGGCUAAAUACGUGCCAGCAGCCGCGGUAAUACGUAUGGAGCAAGCGUUAUCCGGAUUUACUGGGUGUAAGGGGAGCGUAGACGGCAAAGCAAGUCCGAAGUAAAAUCCCGGGGCUCAACCCCGGAACUGCUUUGGAAACUGUUUAGCUAGAGUGCAGGAGAGGUAAGCGGAAUUCCUAGUGUAGCGGUGAAAUGCGUAGAUAUUAGGAGGAACACCAGUGGCGAAGGCGGCUUACUGGACUGUAACUGACGUUGAGGCUCGAAAGCGUGGGGAGCAAACAGGAUUAGAUACCCUGGUA